Long non-coding RNA from Castor canadensis (American beaver), 214 nucleotides. RefSeq lists it as uncharacterized. Lineage: Eukaryota; Metazoa; Chordata; Mammalia; Rodentia; Castoridae. The record is from RefSeq and is a predicted model, not a curated record.
CUCCGCCGCCGCGCCGCCGCCGGGACCGCUCGGACCGCCGGGCCCGAGACGGCGCCCGGUAUUCGCCUCGGUUCGUGUAUUUCCCUUCCUCCAUGAUCUCCAGCACUGAUAAAGUAGAAGAAACUGAGGUACCCUGAAAGAGAAAAGUAACUGGGAGUGAGGAAAAGAAAGAGUACUGGAGUUUGAACUCAGGGCCUACAUCUUGAGCCACCAG